UACGUAGGGUGCGAUCGUUGUCCGGAAUUACUGGGCGUAAAGAGCUCGUAGGUGGUUUGUCGCGUUGGUCGUGAAAUCUCACGGCUUAACUGUGAGCGUGCGGGCGAUACGGGCAGACUAGAGUACUGCAGGGGAGACUGGAAUUCCUGGUGUAGCGGUGGAAUGCGCAGAUAUCAGGAGGAACACCGGUGGCGAAGGCGGGUCUCUGGGCAGUAACUGACGCUGAGGAGCGAAAGCGUGGGGAGCGAACAGG
RNAcentral lists this ribosomal RNA (253 nucleotides) under uncultured bacterium. RNAcentral describes it as "partial 16S ribosomal RNA". It matches the Rfam family "Bacterial small subunit ribosomal RNA", at positions 524 to 776 of the family's 1533-position model. The record is from RNAcentral.